CAGUAGCCACGGUAGUACGAAGGGUGCAAGCGUUAAUCGGAAUUACUGGGCGUAAAGCGUGCGUAGGCGGUGAGUUAAGUCUGCUGUGAAAUCCCCGGGCUCAACCUGGGAAUGGCAGUGGAUACUGGCUCGCUAGAGUGUGUCAGAGGAUGGUGGAAUUCCCGGUGUAGCGGUGAAAUGCGUAGAGAUCGGGAGGAACAUCAGUGGCGAAGGCGGCCAUCUGGGACAACACUGACGCUGAGGCACGAAAGCGUGGGGAGCAGACAGGAUUAGAUACCCCGUAGUCCCUGUCUCUUAUACA
RNAcentral lists this ribosomal RNA (301 nucleotides) under uncultured bacterium. RNAcentral's name for it is "partial 16S ribosomal RNA". It matches the Rfam family "Bacterial small subunit ribosomal RNA", at positions 509 to 808 of the family's 1533-position model. The record is from RNAcentral.